Molecule: ribosomal RNA, 579 nt
Filed under: uncultured bacterium
Lineage: Bacteria
Description: bacterial SSU rRNA
Rfam family: Bacterial small subunit ribosomal RNA
Source: RNAcentral
CCUACGGGAGGCAGCAGUAGGGAAUAUUGGUCAAUGGGGGCAACCCUGAACCAGCCAUGCCGCGUGCAGGAAGACAGCCUUCUGGGUUGUAAACUGCUUUUAUCAGGGGGGAAUUGUCGGGAUGCGUCCCGAAGUUGACAGUACCUGAUGAAUAAGCACCGGCUAACUCCGUGCCAGCAGCCGCGGUAAUACGGAGGGUGCAAGCGUUGUCCGGAUUUAUUGGGUUUAAAGGGUGCGUAGGCGGGACAAUAAGUCAGUGGUGAAAGUCCACCGCUCAACGGUGGGAUUGCCAUUGAAACUGUUGUUCUUGAGUAAAGUCGAGGUAGGCGGAAUUUAUGGUGUAGCGGUGAAAUGCAUAGAUACCAUAAGGAACACCGAUAGCGAAGGCAGCUUACUAGACUAACACUGACGCUGAGGCACGAAAGCGUGGGGAGCGAACAGGAUUAGAUACCCUGGUAGUCCACGCUGUAAACGAUGAUCACUCGAUGUAUGCGAUAGACAGUAUGCGUCCCAGCGAAAGCGAUAAGUGAUCCACCUGGGGAGUACGCCGGCACGGUUGAAACUCAAAGGAAUUGACGG